Molecule: ribosomal RNA, 492 nt
Filed under: uncultured bacterium
Lineage: Bacteria
Description: partial 16S ribosomal RNA
Rfam family: Bacterial small subunit ribosomal RNA
Source: RNAcentral
AUUGAACGCUGGCGGCAUGCUUUACACAUGCAAGUCGAACGGUAACAGGCCUUCGGGUGCUGACGAGUGGCGAACGGGUGAGUAAUGCAUCGGAACGUGCCCAGAGGUGGGGGAUAACGCAGCGAAAGCUGUGCUAAUACCGCAUGUGAUCUGAGGAUGAAAGCGGGGGACCAGGCAGCAAUGUUUGGCCUCGCGCCUUUGGAGCGGCCGAUGUCAGAUUAGGUAGUUGGUGGGGUAAAGGCCUACCAAGCCGACGAUCUGUAGCUGGUCUGAGAGGACGACCAGCCACACUGGGACUGAGACACGGCCCAGACUCCUACGGGAGGCAGCAGUGGGGAAUUUUGGACAAUGGGCGCAAGCCUGAUCCAGCAAUGCCGCGUGCGGGAAGAAGGCCUUCGGGUUGUAAACCGCUUUUGUACGGAACGAAAAGGCUCUGGCUAAUACCUGGGGCUGAUGACGGUACCGCAAGAAUAAGCACCGGCUAACUACGUG